CCUACGGGAGGCAGCAGUGGGGAAUAUUGCACAAUGGGGGAAACCCUGAUGCAGCGACGCCGCGUGAGCGAUGAAGUAUUUCGGUAUGUAAAGCUCUAUCAGCAGGGAAGAAAAUGACGGUACCUGACUAAGAAGCCCCGGCUAACUACGUGCCAGCAGCCGCGGUAAUACGUAGGGGGCAAGCGUUAUCCGGAUUUACUGGGUGUAAAGGGAGCGUAGACGGCAUGGCAAGCCAGAUGUGAAAGCCCGGGGCUCAACCCCGGGACUGCAUUUGGAACUGUCAGGCUAGAGUGUCGGAGAGGAAAGCGGAAUUCCUAGUGUAGCGGUGAAAUGCGUAGAUAUUAGGAGGAACACCAGUGGCGAAGGCGGCUUUCUGGACGAUGACUGACGUUGAGGCUCGAAAGCGUGGGGAGCAAACAGGAUUAGAUACCCCAGUAGU
This 439-nucleotide ribosomal RNA is filed under the name uncultured Ruminococcus sp. RNAcentral's name for it is "bacterial SSU rRNA". It matches the Rfam family "Bacterial small subunit ribosomal RNA", at positions 338 to 794 of the family's 1533-position model. Lineage: Bacteria; Bacillati; Bacillota; Clostridia; Eubacteriales; Oscillospiraceae. The record is from RNAcentral.